RNAcentral lists this ribosomal RNA (445 nucleotides) under uncultured bacterium. Its description in RNAcentral is "partial 16S ribosomal RNA". It matches the Rfam family "Bacterial small subunit ribosomal RNA", at positions 354 to 796 of the family's 1533-position model. The record is from RNAcentral.
GUAAGGAAUAUUGGACAAUGGACGCAAGUCUGAUCCAGCCAUGCCGCGUGAAGGAUUAAGGUCCUCUGGAUUGUAAACUUCUUUUAUAAGGGACGAAAAAAGGCUUUUCUAAGUCGUCUGACGGUACCUUAUGAAUAAGCACCGGCUCACUCCGUGCCAGCAGCCGCGGUAUUACGGAGGGUGCAAGCGUUAUCUGGAUUCUCUGGGUUUAUAGGGUGCGUAGGCGGGCAGGUAAGUCAGUGGUGAAAUCCUAGAGCUUAACUCUAGAACUGCCAUUGAUACUAUCUGUCUUGAAUAGUGUGGAAGUAAGCGGAAUAUGUCAUGUAGCGGUGAAAUGCUUAGAUAUGACAUAGAACACCUAUUGCGAAGGCAGCUUACUACGCAUAUAUUGACGCUGAGGCACGAAAGCGUGGGGAUCAAACAGGAUUAGAUACCCUGGUAGUCC